RNAcentral lists this ribosomal RNA (253 nucleotides) under uncultured bacterium. RNAcentral's name for it is "partial 16S ribosomal RNA". It matches the Rfam family "Bacterial small subunit ribosomal RNA", at positions 524 to 776 of the family's 1533-position model. The record is from RNAcentral.
UACGAAGGGGGCUAGCGUUGCUCGGAAUGACUGGGCGUAAAGGGCGCGUAGGCGGCGUUUUAAGUUGGGGGUGAAAGCCUGUGGCUCAACCACAGAAUUGCCUCCGAUACUGGGACGCUUGAGUGGGGUAGAGGUUGGUGGAACUGCGAGUGUAGAGGUGAAAUUCGUAGAUAUUCGGAAGAACACCGGUGGCGAAGGCGGCCAACUGGACCAUCACUGACGCUGAGGCGCGAAAGCGUGGGGAGCAAACAGG